CUCUAAAGUUGUCUACUUGUUCGCCCAAUCCAAGAAGGGAGUUGGGCCUUUUAUUCUGGACGAAAGUCCAAAGUGUAAUGCCUUUAGAUCGAAGGAAACUGCGUGAGGCUGGCUUCACAGAGCAGCGUCACUUUCUACUGUCUUCGGUGGAUGGAUAACGUGCAAGUUCUUUAGAGUGCAAUAACACCUUGUACGAAGUCCAAAACUCGACAAACUUUCUU
This 221-nucleotide signal recognition particle RNA is filed under the name Cucumis melo (muskmelon). Its description in RNAcentral is "Plant signal recognition particle RNA". It matches the Rfam family "Plant signal recognition particle RNA", at positions 81 to 305 of the family's 305-position model. The record is from Rfam by way of RNAcentral. Lineage: Eukaryota; Viridiplantae; Streptophyta; Magnoliopsida; Cucurbitales; Cucurbitaceae.